UUGGAGGGCAAGUCUGGUGCCAGCAGCCGCGGUAAUUCCAGCUCCAAUAGCGUAUAUUAAAGUUGUUGCAGUUAAAAAGCUCGUAGUUGAAUUUCGGGAUCAAAUUGUCGGUCGUGCCUCGGUACGCACUGGUAUUAUUGGUUCCUACCUUCUGAAGAACCGCGAUGUCAUUAAUUUGGUGUCGUGGGGAAUCAGGACUGUUACUUUGAAAAAAUUAGAGUGUUUAAAGCAGGCGCACGCUUGAAUACAUUAGCAUGGAAUAAUGAAAUAGGACGUUUGAUUCUAUUUUGUUGGUUUCUAGGAUCGACGUAAUGAUUAAUAGGGAUAGUUGGGGGCAUUAGUAUUCAAUUGUCAGAGGUGAAAUUCUUGGAUUUAUUGAAGACUAACUACUGCGAAAGCAUUUGCCAAGGAUGUUUUCAUUAAUCAAGAACGAAAGUUAGGGGAUCGAAGACGAUCAGAUACCGUCGUAGUCUUAACCAUAAACUAUGCCGACUAGGGAUCGGAUGAUGUUAAUUUUUUAAUGACUCAUUCGGCGCCUUACGGGAAACCAAAGUGUUUGGGUUC
Molecule: ribosomal RNA, 564 nt
Filed under: uncultured Glomeromycotina
Lineage: Eukaryota; Fungi; Glomeromycota
Description: SSU rRNA
Rfam family: Eukaryotic small subunit ribosomal RNA
Source: RNAcentral